Molecule: small nucleolar RNA, 213 nt
Organism: Neocloeon triangulifer
Lineage: Eukaryota; Metazoa; Arthropoda; Insecta; Ephemeroptera; Baetidae
Product: small nucleolar RNA U3
Exons: 1
Source: RefSeq, a predicted model, not a curated record
AAGAUCAUACUUCACAGGAUCAUUUCUGUAGUAUGUAUCGCCCGCAUAGUUAAACAACUUUGCACCCCGAGACUCCACGAUGAAGAGGAAUAAUUGGUUGUCCUGAGCGUGAAAAGGACCAUUGCUGAUCUCGUCUGAGGUCAGCUGGUCAUUGAUGAUCGUUCACCCUGUGCCUUUGGGCAUGGGGGAUGGAUGUCCAAUAUUCUGAGUGGU